Molecule: long non-coding RNA, 556 nt
Filed under: Phascolarctos cinereus (koala)
Lineage: Eukaryota; Metazoa; Chordata; Mammalia; Diprotodontia; Phascolarctidae
Description: lncRNA (ENSPCIG00000033499.1)
Source: RNAcentral
CCCAUGGGCACCCACACAGGAAGGUGCCCACGUUCCAAUUUGUCAUUAGGCAGGGUAUAUGUGGCUGAUCAGUGAAGCCAUGAUGUUCUCAUGCCCAGUACACUGCCAGUGUGACUUCAUUCCCUUGACUGAAGCCUGACUCCAUCCCCCCAUCCACCUCCAUCUGAUUUCUUUUGCCUUGCUCCUCAGGGAGACAAAGGCGCCCUUGGGAUCCCAGGACGAGUGGGACUCAAGGGCCAACCAGGAGAGAAGGGAGCCCCAGGAGAUGCUGGAAUGUCUAUUAUUGGUCCUCGUGGUCCCCCGGGUCAGCCUGGCACAAGAGGCUUUCCUGGAUUUCCGGUGAGUGGGGAUGGUUUCUGUAAAUGCCCUUGCCCAUCCAUUUCAGCUGGGCCUCAUUGCACUGAGUCGUCCCUUACAUGGGCAUUCCCCUCUGAAGCAACAGUGGCUCUUUCGUGGAGUGCUCUACUCCUCAGCCCUUCCGAAAAUGAAGCCAGACUUGGGAUAGCUCAGAGCUGGGACUGCUUCUAGUUGUUAGAGAGAGAGAGAAAAGGGAAAG